AAAAGCGGAAAAGAAAAUAACCAUGAUUCCCUUAGUAACGGCGAGUGAACAGGGAAAAGCCCAAAUUUGUAAUCUGGCACUUUUUACAAGUGUCCGAGUUGUAAUUUGUAGAACUGUUAUCCGUGCUGGACCAUGUACAAGUCUGUUGAAAAGCAGCAUCAUUGAAGGUGAAAAUCCUGUAGAUGAUAUGGACUACCAGUGCAUUUGUGAUACGGUUUCUAAGAGUCGAGUUGUUUGGGAAUGCAGCUCAAAGUGGGUGGUAAAUUCCAUCUAAGGCUAAAUAUAAGUGAGAGACCGAUAGCAAACAAGUACCGUGAGGGAAAGAUGAAAAGAACUUUGAAAAUAGAGUUAACAGUACGUGAAAUUGCUGAAAGGGAAACGUUUGAAGUUAGUUUUGUAUUCGUUGGAUCAGCUUCGCAAGGAGUGUAUUCUGAUGAUAAGCAAGUCAACAUCAAUCUAUGAGUGUCGGAGAAGGGUUUUGAGAAUGUAGCAAUUUUUAUUAAUUGUGUUAUAGCUUGAGACUUGGAUACGAUGCUUUGGAUUGAGGAACGCGUAGUAAGCUUUGAGCGGAUUCGAAAGGAUCUCCUUACUAUGGAUGUUG
This 601-nucleotide ribosomal RNA is filed under the name Melampsora laricis-populina. RNAcentral's name for it is "Melampsora larici-populina partial large subunit ribosomal RNA". It matches the Rfam family "Eukaryotic large subunit ribosomal RNA", at positions 49 to 628 of the family's 3401-position model. The record is from RNAcentral. Lineage: Eukaryota; Fungi; Basidiomycota; Pucciniomycetes; Pucciniales; Melampsoraceae.